Molecule: ribosomal RNA, 467 nt
Filed under: uncultured bacterium
Lineage: Bacteria
Description: partial 16S ribosomal RNA
Rfam family: Bacterial small subunit ribosomal RNA
Source: RNAcentral
GAUGAACGCUGGCGGCGCGCCUAACACAUGCAAGUCGAACGAUUAAAGCACCUUCGGGUGUGUAUAAAGUGGCGAACGGCUGAGUAACACGUGGGCAACCUGCCCCUCUCAUUGGGAUAGCCACGGGAAACCGUGGAUAAUACCGAAUACUUCGGGACUUCCGCAUGGAAGACUCGAGAAAGCUCCGGCGGAGAGGGAUGGGCCCGCGGCCUGUUAGCUUGUUGGUGGGGUAAUGGCCUGCCAAGGCAAUGAUGGGUAGCUGGGUUGAGAGACCGACCAGCCAGAUUGGGACUGAGACACGGCCCAGACUCCUACGGGAGGCAGCAGUGGGGAAUCUUGCACAAUGGGCGAAAGCCUGAUGCAGCGACGCCGCGUGCGGGAUGAAGGCCUUCGGGUUGUAAACCGCUUUCAGCAGGGACGAGGCGAAAGUGACGGUACCUGCAGAAGAAGCCCCGGCUAACUACGUG